GAUGAACGCUGGCGGCGUGCCUAAUACAUGCAAGUCGAACGAAACUUCUUUAUCACCGAGUGCUUGCACUCACCGAUAAAGAGUUGAGUGGCGAACGGGUGAGUAACACGUGGGCAACCUGCCCAAAAGAGGGGGAUAACACUUGGAAACAGGUGCUAAUACCGCAUAACCAUAGUUACCGCAUGGUAACUAUGUAAAAGGUGGCUAUACUACCGCUUUUGGAUGGGCCCGCGGCGCAUUAGCUAGUUGGUAGGGUAAAGGCUUACCAAGGCAAUGAUGGGUAGCCGAAUUGAGAGGUUGAUCGGCCACAUUGGGACUGAGACACGGCCCAAACUCCUACGGGAGGCAGCAGUAGGGAAUCUUCCACAAUGGGCGAAAGCCUGAUGGAGCAACGCCGCGUGGGUGAAGAAGGUCUUCGGAUCGUAAAACCCUGUUGUUAGAGAAGAAAGUGCGUGAGAGUAACUGUUCACGUUUCGACGGUAUCUAACCGGAAAGCCACGGCUAACUACGUG
Molecule: ribosomal RNA, 512 nt
Filed under: uncultured bacterium
Lineage: Bacteria
Description: partial 16S ribosomal RNA
Rfam family: Bacterial small subunit ribosomal RNA
Source: RNAcentral